AACGCACCUUGCGCCCCUUGGUAUUCCGAGGGGCAUGCCUGUUUGAGUGUCAUUUUAUCAUCAACUCAUUAGUCUUUGAUUAGGCUUUUGGGCUUGGACUUGGGAAUUGCUGGCUUGAUCUUUUACCCAUUGGACAGUAUCUAAUACUUAAUAGAGGGAAAAAGUGUAGUCGGCUGUCCUUAAAUGCAUUAGCGAGUGUUAGUCUACAUGGCACGGCCUCUUGACGUGAUAAUGAUCGUCGUGGGCUGGAAGUGUAGUGUCUGGCUUCUAAAUCCCGAUUUUGCGUGCAUACGGCCCAUAAAGCUGGAAGCGCAAUCAAAUUCGACUACGUGCAUACGGCCCAUAAAGCUGGAAGCGUAGUCAAAAUGACAAGUUUGACCUCAAAUCAGGUAGGACUACCCGCUGAACUUAA
Molecule: unclassified non-coding RNA, 412 nt
Filed under: Naetrocymbe sp.
Lineage: Eukaryota; Fungi; Ascomycota; Dothideomycetes; Pleosporales; Naetrocymbaceae
Description: partial contains 5.8S ribosomal RNA, internal transcribed spacer 2, and large subunit ribosomal RNA
Rfam family: 5.8S ribosomal RNA (bases 1-52)
Source: RNAcentral